GAUGAAGAACGCAGCGAAAUGCGAUAAGUAAUGUGAAUUGCAGAAUUCAGUGAAUCAUCGAAUCUUUGAACGCACAUUGCGCCCGCCAGCACUCUGGCGGGCAUGCCUGUUCGAGCGUCAUUUCAACCAUCAAGCCCCCAGGGGCUUGUACUGGGGCCCUGCGGCUGCCCGCAGGCCCUGAAAACCAGUGGCGGGCUCGCUAGUCACACCGAGCGCAGUAGCACAUCUCGCUCAGGGCGUGCGGCGGGCUCCUGCCGUGAAACCCCCCACUGUAACCCCAAAGGUUGACCUCGGAUCAGGUAGGAAUACCCGCUGAACUUAAGCAUAUCAAUAAGCGGAGGA
This 342-nucleotide unclassified non-coding RNA is filed under the name soil metagenome. RNAcentral's name for it is "partial contains 5.8S ribosomal RNA, internal transcribed spacer 2, and large subunit ribosomal RNA". The stretch from base 1 to 120 matches the Rfam family "5.8S ribosomal RNA", at positions 35 to 154 of the family's 154-position model. The record is from RNAcentral.